Molecule: ribosomal RNA, 429 nt
Filed under: Bacillota bacterium
Lineage: Bacteria; Bacillati; Bacillota
Description: Firmicutes bacterium partial 16S ribosomal RNA
Rfam family: Bacterial small subunit ribosomal RNA
Source: RNAcentral
UGGGGAAUUUUGGACAAUGGGCGAAAGCCUGAUCCAGCAAUGCCGCGUGUGUGAAGAAGGCCUUCGGGUUGUAAAGCACUUUUGUCCGGAAAGAAAACGCCGUGGUUAAUACCCGUGGCGGAUGACGGUACCGGAAGAAUAAGCACCGGCUAACUACGUGCCAGCAGCCGCGGUAAUACGUAGGGUGCAAGCGUUAAUCGGAAUUACUGGGCGUAAAGCGUGCGCAGGCGGUCCGCUAAGACAGAUGUGAAAUCCCCGGGCUUAACCUGGGAACUACAUUUGUGACUGGCGGGCUAGAGUAUGGCAGAGGGGGGUAGAAUUCCACGUGUAGCAGUGAAAUGCGUAGAGAUGUGGAGGAAUACCGAUGGCGAAGGCGGCCCCCUGGGCCAAUACUGACGCUCAUGCACGAAAGCGUGGGGAGCAAACAGG